Molecule: long non-coding RNA, 307 nt
Organism: Vicia villosa (hairy vetch)
Lineage: Eukaryota; Viridiplantae; Streptophyta; Magnoliopsida; Fabales; Fabaceae
Exons: 3
Source: RefSeq, a predicted model, not a curated record
UUUCCGUUUGCUUCUUCUCAUUUUUGGUGUUUUUUUUAGGGGUUUUGAUUUCAGAAGAAAGAAGAAAGUAAACGAUAAAUCUUUUCGAAAGAUUUACAUGUGGUGACCAUUGUUUAUGAUUUUAGUGCUUUUAUCAUGAAACUCCAAUCAGUUCAGGGACAAUUGUGGCUCAGAGAUGAAUAUUCUUUAUCCUAGAGAUCCAGGUUUUUGGUGUCAUGGUGUGAAGAUGUUCAUGUUUAUUUCCUUCUUUCAGUUUCUUUCCUUUUGAUCUAUAAUAUGAGACUGUAAAAGUUACACUUUCUGGUGA